AUGUUCAGACUAGCCAUGCACGUCUAAGUACAAACUAAAUGAUGGUGAAACUGCAAAUGGCUCAUUACAACGGUUAUGAUGUACCCGGGAGUUCCGAUGGAUAUUUCCAGUAACACUAGAACUUAUACAUGUCCCUGCGUUUAUUAGUUUCGCACAGUCCGUCGCUGAGUCAUGGUAAACAGUUGAUCGACUCGACGUCCCGGAACAGUUUCCGCCCCAUCAGCUUCGAUGGUUGGGUAUUGGCCUACCAUUGCAACAACGGGUAACGAGGAAUUAGGGUUUGAUUUCGGAGAGGGAGCCUGAGAAACGGCUACCACAUCUACGGAUGGCAGCAGGCGCGCAAAUUACCCAAUGCAGACACUGUGAGGUAGUGACGAGAAAUAAUAAAGCGGGACUUCUGUUUCGCUAUUAUAAUGAGGAAUAACCAAAGGUCAUUCCGAUUAGCAACUGAUGGGAAAGUCUGGUGCCAGCAGCCGCGGUAAUACCAGCGUCAGUAGCAU
RNAcentral lists this ribosomal RNA (500 nucleotides) under uncultured Myrionecta. RNAcentral describes it as "SSU rRNA". It matches the Rfam family "Eukaryotic small subunit ribosomal RNA", at positions 34 to 600 of the family's 1831-position model. Lineage: Eukaryota; Ciliophora; Litostomatea; Cyclotrichida; Mesodiniidae. The record is from RNAcentral.